Molecule: small nucleolar RNA, 131 nt
Filed under: Octodon degus (degu)
Lineage: Eukaryota; Metazoa; Chordata; Mammalia; Rodentia; Octodontidae
Description: Small nucleolar RNA SNORA25 (ENSODEG00000021182.1)
Source: RNAcentral
AGGUCAUUUCAAAGGGGGCUAGGGGUGUUGGCUCUGAAUCAAAGAGCUCUUAAAGUGUGACCAAAGACUGAAAUUCACCACAGGAUAAGAAGAAGACAUGCAACUUAACCUCUCAUACUCAUGACAUAAUU